RNAcentral lists this ribosomal RNA (455 nucleotides) under uncultured bacterium. RNAcentral describes it as "bacterial SSU rRNA". It matches the Rfam family "Bacterial small subunit ribosomal RNA", at positions 26 to 489 of the family's 1533-position model. The record is from RNAcentral.
AGGACGAACGUUGGCGGUGCGCUUAAUGCAUGCAAGUCGAGGGAUAACCAGUCGUUCCGUAAGGUUCGGCUGGGGAAACCGGCGAACGGGUGCGUAACACGUGAGAAACCUGCCCCGAAGAUCGGGAUAGCCCGGGGAAACCCGGAUUAAUACCGAAUAUCCUCUUUGGACCACAUGGUCUUUUGAGGAAAUGGUCCGCCGCUUCGGGAUGGUCUCGCGGCCUAUCAGCUAGUUGGUGAGGUAAAGGCUCACCAAGGCAAAGACGGGUAGCUGGUCUGAGAGGACGAUCAGCCACACUGGGACUGAGACGCGGCCCAGACUCCUACGGGAGGCAGCAGCAGGGAAUAUUGCACAAUGGGCGAAAGCCUGAUGCAGCGACACCGCGUGCGGGAUGAAGGCCUUCGGGUUGUAAACCGCUUUCAGGAGGGACGAAAAUGACGGUACCUCCAGAAGAA